GAUGAACGCUAGCUACAGGCCUAACACAUGCAAGUCGAGGGGAAACGACAUCGAAAGCUUGCUUUUGAUGGGCGUCGACCGGCGCACGGGUGAGUAACGCGUAUCCAACCUGCCCAUCACUUGGGGAUAACCUUGCGAAAGUAAGACUAAUACCCAAUGAUAUCUCUAGAAGACAUCUGAAAGAGAUUAAAGAUUUAUCGGUGAUGGAUGGGGAUGCGUCUGAUUAGCUUGUUGGCGGGGUAACGGCCCACCAAGGCAACGAUCAGUAGGGGUUCUGAGAGGAAGGUCCCCCACAUUGGAACUGAGACACGGUCCAAACUCCUACGGGAGGCAGCAGUGAGGAAUAUUGGCCAAUGGGCGAGAGCCUGAACCAGCCAAGUAGCGUGCAGGAAGACGGCCCUAUGGGUUGUAAACUGCUUUUAUAAGGGAAUAAAGUGAGAGUCGUGACUCUUUUUGUAUGUACCUUAUGAAUAAGGACCGGCUAAUUCCGUG
RNAcentral lists this ribosomal RNA (492 nucleotides) under uncultured bacterium. Its description in RNAcentral is "partial 16S ribosomal RNA". It matches the Rfam family "Bacterial small subunit ribosomal RNA", at positions 28 to 507 of the family's 1533-position model. The record is from RNAcentral.